RNAcentral lists this ribosomal RNA (254 nucleotides) under uncultured bacterium. Its description in RNAcentral is "partial 16S ribosomal RNA". It matches the Rfam family "Bacterial small subunit ribosomal RNA", at positions 524 to 776 of the family's 1533-position model. The record is from RNAcentral.
GACAGAGGGUGCAAACGUUGUUCGGAAUUACUGGGCGUAAAGCGCGUGUAGGCAGCGACUGCAAGUCGGGUGUGAAAGCCCUGGGCUCAACCUAGGAAGUGCACUCGAAACUGCAGGGCUUGAGUUCUGGAGAGGAAGGCGGAAUUCUCGGUGUAGAGGUGAAAUUCGUAGAUAUCGAGAGGAACAUCGGUGGCGAAGGCGGCCUUCUGGACAGUGACUGACGCUGAGACGCGAAAGCGUGGGGAGCAAACAGG